UGGGGAAUAUUGCGCAAUGGACGAAAGUCUGACGCAGCAACGCCGCGUGAGGGAUGACGGCCUUCGGGUUGUAAAGCUCUUUCGGACGGAACGAAACGGUUACGGUGAACAGCCGUGACUAAUGACGGUACCGUAAGAAGAAGCACCGGCUAACUACGUGCCAGCAGCCGCGGUAAUACGUAGGGGACGAGCGUUGUCCGGAUUCAUUGGGCGUAAAGCGCGCGUAGGCGGCUCGAAAAGUCGGGCGUGAAAUGCCGGGGCUCAACCCCGGGACUGCGUCCGAUACUUCCGAGCUGGAGGUAGGUAGGGGAGAUCGGAAUUCCUGGUGUAGCGGUGAAAUGCGCAGAUAUCAGGAGGAACACCGGUGGCGAAGGCGGAUCUCUGGGCCUUACCUGACGCUGAGGCGCGAAAGCUAGGGGAGCGAA
Molecule: ribosomal RNA, 425 nt
Filed under: uncultured bacterium
Lineage: Bacteria
Description: bacterial SSU rRNA
Rfam family: Bacterial small subunit ribosomal RNA
Source: RNAcentral